This 687-nucleotide ribosomal RNA is filed under the name uncultured Bacteroidales bacterium. RNAcentral's name for it is "bacterial SSU rRNA". It matches the Rfam family "Bacterial small subunit ribosomal RNA", at positions 69 to 750 of the family's 1533-position model. Lineage: Bacteria; Pseudomonadati; Bacteroidota; Bacteroidia; Bacteroidales. The record is from RNAcentral.
AUGGUCUUAGCUUGCUAAGGCCGAUGGCGACCGGCGCACGGGUGAGUAACACGUAUCCAACCUGCCGUCUACUCUUGGACAGCCUUCUGAAAGGAAGAUUAAUACAAGAUGGCAUCAUGAGUCCGCAUGUUCACAUGAUUAAAGGUAUUCCGGUAGACGAUGGGGAUGCGUUCCAUUAGAUAGUAGGCGGGGUAACGGCCCACCUAGUCUUCGAUGGAUAGGGGUUCUGAGAGGAAGGUCCCCCACAUUGGAACUGAGACACGGUCCAAACUCCUACGGGAGGCAGCAGUGAGGAAUAUUGGUCAAUGGGCGCAGGCCUGAACCAGCCAAGUAGCGUGAAGGAUGACUGCCCUAUGGGUUGUAAACUUCUUUUAUAAAGGAAUAAAGUCGGGUAUGUAUACCCGUUUGCAUGUACUUUAUGAAUAAGGAUCGGCUAACUCCGUGCCAGCAGCCGCGGUAAUACGGAGGAUCCGAGCGUUAUCCGGAUUUAUUGGGUUUAAAGGGAGCGUAGAUGGAUGUUUAAGUCAGUUGUGAAAGUUUGCGGCUCAACCGUAAAAUUGCAGUUGAUACUGGAUAUCUUGAGUGCAGUUGAGGCAGGCGGAAUUCGUGGUGUAGCGGUGAAAUGCUUAGAUAUCACGAAGAACUCCGAUUGCGAAGGCAGCCUGCUAAGCUGCAACUGACAUUGAG